ACCGGUCUACGCCGCCCGGCGUCGGGCAGGGCGGCUGGCCGCCGCCGGGUGCGGGUCCCCGCCGCAUGCCGGGGCCA
This 77-nucleotide transfer RNA is filed under the name Streptomyces lomondensis. RNAcentral's name for it is "tRNA-Ala". Lineage: Bacteria; Bacillati; Actinomycetota; Actinomycetes; Kitasatosporales; Streptomycetaceae. The record is from RNAcentral.